CAAAAGGAAAAAGCAAGGCUGUGGGAAAGAAAGCUCCGUCGUCUUAGCCACGGCCCCAACGACCUGCCUCCCAUGAGGCUUUGUGCAGGCUGGCUAAUGCGCAAGCGAGCUUGGCAGAGCUGGCCGACAAUCCUCGUGUCCUCGGUGCUGCACUGCUCCAGUAGUUACAGAAAUUAGCCACAUCGACAAUCACCCACUGCCUGCUAUCAGAGCCGCGCUAUCCACUGCACAAACAGCAACUGCAGACACCAUCAGGUCCUGCAGCUGCUUCGGCUUGUUCUUGGAGGAAGUACCUGGCCAACAGACUCUGAUCACACGUCCGAAGAAACGGACUCCUCGCCUUGCUUUGAGACGACAAGUCCCAUGCACACGAAAGACAGUUAUGCUCUUCCUGUAUGCAGUGUGACCAUACUGAAUCCUCCAGUUUCUACAGGGCACAUACGGUCCACCAUCAACCCCCUUCUGGUGAAACGACCUAAAUCCAGUAUCACUGCUCACCUCCACUCAUUCAUCCUUUUUUCCCACCUGUGGAACCAACUUCCACAUUCUCUUCAAUCUCAUUCUUCCAUCCACAUCUUCAAGAUAGCUGUUCACCACCAUUGCUGA
Molecule: long non-coding RNA, 606 nt
Filed under: Eptatretus burgeri (inshore hagfish)
Lineage: Eukaryota; Metazoa; Chordata; Myxini; Myxiniformes; Myxinidae
Description: lncRNA (ENSEBUG00000017363.1)
Source: RNAcentral